GUGAAGUUCAAAUGAGGAUACCUAGACACCCAGAGACGAGGAAGGGCAUAAUAAAUGACGAAAUGCUUCGGGGAGUUGAAAAUAAGCAUAGAUUCGGAGACUCCUAAAUAGGCCAACCUUUCGAACUACUGCUGAAUCCAUAGGCAGGCAAGAGAUAACAUGGUGAACUAAAACAUCUUAGUAGCUAGAGGAAAAGAAAGCAAAAGCGAUUCCCAUAGUAGUGGCGAGUGAAAUGGGAGCAGCCUAAACCGUGAAAACAGGGUUGUGGGAAAGGAAUACAGGCAUCGUGCUACUAAGUAAAGCAGUGGAAUGCUGCACCCUAGAUGGAGAGAGUCCAAUAGUCAAAAGUAUCACUAGCUUACACUCUGACUUGAGUAGCAUGGGACACAUGGAAUCCUGUGUGAAUUACCAAGGACCACCAUGCAACGCUAAAUACUCCUCGGUGACCGAUAGUGAAGUAGUACCGUGAGGGAAGGGUGAAAAUAACCCCUGUCGGAGAGUGAAAUAACACAUGAAACCAUAAGCUCCCAAGCAGUGCGAGGAGACUAGGGCUUUGACCGUGUGCCUAUUGAAGAAUGAGCUGACGACUUAUAGGCAGUGGCUUGGUUAAGGGAACCCACCGAAGCCGUAGCAAAAGUGAGUCUUCAUAGGGCAACUGUCACUGCUUAUGGAUCCAAACUUGGGUGAUCUAUCCAUGACCAGGAUGAAGCUUGGGUGAAACUAAGUGGAGGUCUAAACCAAAUGAUGUUGAAGAAUCAGUGGAUGAGUUGUGGUUAGGGGUGAAAUGCCACUUGAACCCACAGUUAGCUGAUUCUCCCCGAAAUGCAUGGAGGUGCAGCAGUUGACUAGACAUCUAGGGGUAAAGCAUUGUUUCGUUGUAGGCCACGACAGCGGUACCAAACCGAGGCAAACUCUGAAUACUAGAUAUGACCUCAAAAUAAUAGGGGUCAAGGUUGGCUAGUGAGACAAUGGGGGAUAAGCUUCAUCGUCGAAAGGGAAACAGCUCGAAUCACCAGCUAAGCCCCUAAAUGAUCGCUCAGUGAUAAUGGAGGUAAGGUACAGAGACAGCCAGGAGGUUUACCUAGAAGCAGCCACCCUUAAAAGAGUGCGUAAUAGCUCACUGAUUAAGCACUCUUGCACCAAUGAUGAAUGAGGCUAGGCAAUCUGCCAAAGCUGUGGGAUGUAAAAAUGUAUCGGUAGGGGAGCAUUCCACCUAGUGGGAAGCACCCACGCGAGCAGUGGUAGAUAAAAUGGAAGUGAGAAUGUCAGCUUGAGUAAUGCAAACAUUGGUGAGAAUCCAAUCCCAUGAGAACCUAAGGGUUCCUCUGUAAGGUUCGUCCAGGGAAAGUGAGUCAGGGCCCAAGAUAGGCCGAAAGGCAUAGUUGAUGGACAACAAGUGAAUAUUCUUGUACUACCCCUUGUUGGUCUCGAGGGAUGGACGAGGCUAGGUUAGCCAAAAGAUGGUUAUCAAUUUAAGGACACAAGGUGCCCCUGCCUUUUUAGGGUAAGAAGGGGUAGAUAAAAUGCCCCGAGCCAAUGUUCAAGUACCAGGCACUAUGGCGCCAAAGUAAACUAUGCCAUACUCCUAGGAAAAGAUCCAUCGACCUCCAACAAAAGGGUACCUGUACCCAAACCUGACACAGGUGGAUAGGUAGAGAAUACCUAGGGGUGCGAGACAAAUCUCUCUAAGGGGUGCUUCCUCAUAAAGAGGGUCGCAGUGACCAAGCUUGAGCGACUGUUUACCAAAAACACAGGUCUCCACAAAGUCAUAAGACCAUGUAUGGGGGCUAACGCAUGCCCAGUGCCAAAAGGUUAAGGAAGUUGAUGACUUGACAACAUUGGAGUCGGUGAUCGAAGCCCUGGUGAACGGCGACCAUAACUAUAAUACUCCUAAGGUAGCAAAAUUCCUUGUCUGGUAAGUUUCGACCUGCACGAAAGGCGUAAUGAUCUGGACACUGUCUUGGAGAGAACCUCGGUGAAAUAGACAUGACUGUGAAGAUGCGGACUACCUGUACCUGGAUAGAAAAACCUAUGAAGCUUCACUAUUCCUUGGGGUUGGCUUUGGGCCUUUCCUGCACAGCUUAGGUGUAGCUUAAAGAAGGCUUCCUUUUGGAGGGGCCUGAGCCAUCAAUGAGAUGCCACUCUGGAAGAGCUAGAAUUCUAACCUUGCAUCAGGAGCUACGGGCCAAAGGACAGUCUCAGGUAGACAGUUACCAUGGGGCGUAGGCCUUCCAAAAGGUAACGGAGGCAUGCAAAGGUUUCCUCAGGCUAGAUGGAGAUUGGCCCUUGAGUUGAAAGGUAGAAGGGAGCUUGACUGUAAGACCCACCCAUCGAGCAGGGACAAAUGUCGACCUUAGUGAUCUGACAGUGCCGAGUGGAAGGGCCAUCGCUUAACUAAUAAAAGUUACUCUAGGGAUGACAGGCUGUUCUUCCCCAAGAGUUCAAAUCGACGGGAAGGUUUGGCACCUCGAUGUUGGCUCUUCGCCGCUUGGGGCUGUAGUAUGUCCCAAGGGUUGGGCUGUUCACCCAUUAAAGCGGUAUGUGAGCUUCAGAACAUCAUAAGACAGUUCAGUCCAUAUCUAGUGUGGCCAUUAGAGCAUUGAGAGGACGUUUCCCUAGUAUGGGAGGACUGGGAAGGACGCACCUCUGGUGUACCAGCUAACGUGCCCACGGUAAACGCUGGGUAGCCAAGUACCAAGGGGAUAACUGUUGAAAGUAUCUAAGUAGUAAGCCCACCCUAAGAUGAGUGCUCUCCUAAUCCGAAUUCCCUAGAGCUUCCGAUAUCACAGCCAAGAUAGCGACAAGUGUUUUUGCCCAUGCGGGGGGUGAAGCGGAAGAAGUUUUGAGAAUUCAAGAGAAGAUCACAACAAGAUAAGCCAUUUAUCAUUACAAUAGGUGUCAAAUGGAAGUGCAGUGAUGUAUGCAGCCAAGGCAUCCUAACAGACCGGUAGACUUGAAC
This 2959-nucleotide ribosomal RNA is filed under the name Ziziphus jujuba (common jujube). RNAcentral's name for it is "bacterial LSU rRNA". It matches the Rfam family "Bacterial large subunit ribosomal RNA". Lineage: Eukaryota; Viridiplantae; Streptophyta; Magnoliopsida; Rosales; Rhamnaceae. The record is from RNAcentral.